This 75-nucleotide transfer RNA is filed under the name Candidatus Woesebacteria bacterium. RNAcentral's name for it is "tRNA-Asn". It matches the Rfam family "tRNA". Rfam says of the family: Transfer RNA (tRNA) molecules are approximately 80 nucleotides in length. Their secondary structure includes four short double-helical elements and three loops (D, anti-codon, and T loops). The record is from RNAcentral. RNAcentral also lists the same sequence under 4 other names. Lineage: Bacteria; Candidatus Woeseibacteriota.
UCCGGGGUAGCUCAGCGGUAGAGCAGUGGACUGUUAAUCCAUUGGUCGUGGGUUCGAAUCCCACCCCCGGAGCCA